UCUCUCUCUCUCUGGGCUGGAGAAACCAGGGGGUCGGGCAAGGCUAGAGCUCAAUUUGGCUAAGUCUUGCGGUGGAUAUGGUUGGAAUUGGGUUGACCUGUGAUUGGGACAGUGAGGUUAAGCAGCUAGGGUUCUGUAGCAAGGUGGAGUUUGGUCGGCUUGAAUAGAUAUGGGAAGAAGCAUUGGCUUUGCGAAUGGAAGCGGCGAUGGGAUCUCGGAUGGUUCGGCUAGGUCGUAUGAGAUGGAGAAGGGAGGAAGGUCGAGAAGCAGGUGAUAGGGGAUCGGAGGUGGCUACGGGGUCCUAAUUGGACUCGGUCGAAGCAGGAAAGCUCAGGUCGUGAGGCUUGCGGGUUUGAGUUUUGCAGUUGGAGAUCGAAGGGAGCAGAGGAUGAGGUAUGAAGGAGGAGAUCGAAGGCUUGCUGGAUGAGUUGUUAACGAGAGGACAAGCCGAGGUCUUCAUUCGCCGGGCUUUUAACAAUGCGAACAGAUCAGAUCUCCGCAUGUGAGUGACAGGAAGAAUCGACGCAUUGCAGACUGCAGAUUGGAUUUGAGCGAGAUUUGCGAUCAUUCAGCGCAGGAUAUCGGGAUGGCCUCGACAGAUUGCUCAUCCAUUGCCUUAAGUUCACAAACCUCACCUCCCGGACUGUUCAUGCACAAAGAGAAGAGAAAUGACGGGUUCUGCAGUCCGCACGUCUGAUUUCGCACGCUACCUGUUCAUGCACGAGCUUUCGCCUGGUUCCGCAGUCCGCACAACCUUGUUCAGGUAUGAGUCGCCUGAUUCAACAUGCCGUCAUUCACGCAUGAGCAUCGCCUGAUCCCGCUUUGUUUUCGUCGGAGGCCCCUCAAUCAAUCAAGUACAUUGCUGUUGAGCUGACCUUUUAUUUUUGUUGGUAGUAGUUUUUUCUUGAGCUAGCCAUUUAUUAGGAGCCAUAUUAGCUGAUCUCUUUAAGAUGUGAUAUGAUUUGCACUUUAGAACUAGAUCUGAAUGGAUUGAUAGUUUGUUUGACUAUUGUUGUGAUGAAGCUAUUGGUUUUUCAUGGAGAUUUAUUGAAAUAAGACUGUAAGUUUGAUGGUCUAUCUCAGAUGAGUCAAACAGUCAAUUGCUAGUGCUUCAUUCUUUAUACUGCCUGUGAUUUCAGGCGGGUUCUAAAUGUUCCUUUGUUCUUCGUGUGCAAGCGCUUGAGCUAUUAUAAAGACAUUCGAGAUUUAUUGAAUUGUAUGAUAAAAUAUUUUUGGUUGGAUUUUA
This is a long non-coding RNA of Dendrobium catenatum, 1246 nucleotides long. RefSeq lists it as uncharacterized. The transcript is spliced from 2 exons. Lineage: Eukaryota; Viridiplantae; Streptophyta; Magnoliopsida; Asparagales; Orchidaceae. The record is from RefSeq and is a predicted model, not a curated record.